UGAGAAGCUUCGACUAAGGUUCGAUUCGAGCGAAAGCGAGAAAGCGUUGCCGCAGGCAACGACCCGAAGGGCGAAGCGCGCAGCGCUGAGUAAUCCUUCCCCCACCACCA
This 110-nucleotide small RNA is filed under the name Salmonella enterica. RNAcentral describes it as "partial RtT sRNA". It matches the Rfam family "RtT RNA", at positions 23 to 130 of the family's 130-position model. From Rfam's summary of the family: This family represents a bacterial cis-regulatory element known as RtT RNA. Lineage: Bacteria; Pseudomonadati; Pseudomonadota; Gammaproteobacteria; Enterobacterales; Enterobacteriaceae. The record is from RNAcentral.